GACAGAGGUCUCGAGCGUUAUGCGGAAUCACUGGGCUUAAAGCGUGUGUAGGCGGAUGUCUACGUACUUUGUGAAAUCCCACGGCUUAACCGUGGAAUUGCUUGGUAUACUGGAUGUCUUGAGCCAGCUAGGGGCAACCGGAACAAAUGGUGGAGCGGUGAAAUGCGUAGAUAUCAGUUGGAACGCCAAUGGUGAAAACAGGUUGCUGGGGCUGUGCUGACGCUGAGACACGAAAGCCAGGGGAGCAAACGGG
This 253-nucleotide ribosomal RNA is filed under the name uncultured bacterium. RNAcentral describes it as "partial 16S ribosomal RNA". It matches the Rfam family "Bacterial small subunit ribosomal RNA", at positions 524 to 776 of the family's 1533-position model. The record is from RNAcentral.